GAUGAAGAACGUAGCGAAAUGCGAUAAGUAGUGUGAAUUGCAGAAUUCAGUGAAUCAUCGAAUCUUUGAACGCACAUUGCGCCCCUUGGUAUUCCAUGGGGCAUGCCUGUUCGAGCGUCAUUUGUACCUUCAAGCUCUGCUUGGUGUUGGGUGUUUGUCUCGCCUCUGCGCGUAGACUCGCCUCAAAACAAUUGGCAGCCGGCGUAUUGAUUUCGGAGCGCAGUACAUCUCGCGCUUUGCACUCAUAACGACGACGUCCAAAAGUACAUUUUUACACUCUUGACCUCGGAUCAGGUAGGGAUACCCGCUGAACUUAAGCAUAUCAAUAAGCGGGGA
This 336-nucleotide unclassified non-coding RNA is filed under the name soil metagenome. Its description in RNAcentral is "partial contains 5.8S ribosomal RNA, internal transcribed spacer 2, and large subunit ribosomal RNA". The stretch from base 1 to 120 matches the Rfam family "5.8S ribosomal RNA", at positions 35 to 154 of the family's 154-position model. The record is from RNAcentral.